This 431-nucleotide ribosomal RNA is filed under the name uncultured bacterium. Its description in RNAcentral is "bacterial SSU rRNA". It matches the Rfam family "Bacterial small subunit ribosomal RNA", at positions 29 to 506 of the family's 1533-position model. The record is from RNAcentral.
AUGAACGCUGGCGACGUGGAUAAGGCAUGCAAGUCGAAUGGGUUUAGGCCCAUGGCAGACGAGGUAGUAACGCGUAGGAACUCGCCCUUUAGUCAAGCAUAACCCGCCGAAAGGUGGAAUAAUUCUUGAUAGUCCCUUCGGGGUAAAGAUUUAUCGCUAAAGGAGAGGCCUGCGUAGUAUCAGCUUGUUGGUAGUGUAAUAGACUACCAAGGCUAUGACGCUUAGGGGAGGUGAGAGCCUGACCCCCACCGAUGGAACUGAGAAACGGUCCAUACACCUACGGGUGGCCGCAGUCGAGAAUUUUCCGCAAUGGACGAAAGUCUGACGGAGCGACGUCGCGUGAUUGAUGAAGUCUUUCGGGAUGUAAAGAUCUUUUAUAGGUGAAGAAGUUUAUUGACAUUAACCUAUGAAUAAGGGGUUGCUAAACUCGU